RNAcentral lists this ribosomal RNA (351 nucleotides) under uncultured bacterium. Its description in RNAcentral is "bacterial SSU rRNA". It matches the Rfam family "Bacterial small subunit ribosomal RNA", at positions 8 to 353 of the family's 1533-position model. The record is from RNAcentral.
AGAGUUUGAUCAUGGCUCAGGAUGAACGCUAGCGGCAGGCUUAACACAUGCAAGUCGAGGGGCAGCAUAAUGGUAGCAAUACUAUUGAUGGCGACCGGCGGACGGGUGCGUAACGCGUAUGCAACCUACCCUUUACGAGGGGGAUAACACUGAGAAAUCGGUACUAAUACCCCAUAAUAUUCCGGGAGGCAUCUUUCGGAGUUGAAAGCUUUGGUGGUAAAGGAUGGGCAUGCGUUGUAUUAGCUAGUUGGUAAGGUAACGGCUUACCAAGGCGACGAUACAGUAGGGGACUGAGAGGUUAACCCCCACAUUGGUACUGAGACACGGACCAAACUCCUACGGGAGGCAGCA